GAUGAAGAACGUAGCGAAAUGCGAUAAGUAAUGUGAAUUGCAGAAUUCAGUGAAUCAUCGAAUCUUUGAACGCACAUUGCGCCCGCCAGUAUUCUGGUGGGCAUGCCUGUUCGAGCGUCAUUUCAACCCUCAAGCCCAGCUUGGUGUUGGGGAUCGGCACAGGCGCCCUCGGGCGCCCGCCGUCCCCUAAAUCUAGUGGCGGUCCCGCUGCAGCCUCCUCUGCGUAGUAGUUUUCUCCUCGCAAGGGCAGCUCGGUGGCGACCUCGCCGUAAAACCCCCAACUUCUGAAAGGUUGACCUCGAAUCAGGUAGGAAUACCCGCUGAACUUAAGCAUAUCAAUAAGCGGAGGA
RNAcentral lists this unclassified non-coding RNA (350 nucleotides) under soil metagenome. RNAcentral describes it as "partial contains 5.8S ribosomal RNA, internal transcribed spacer 2, and large subunit ribosomal RNA". The stretch from base 1 to 120 matches the Rfam family "5.8S ribosomal RNA", at positions 35 to 154 of the family's 154-position model. The record is from RNAcentral.